AACAAAAAAUUGGAAACAGAAAGUCAAAGUGCAAAUAAAGAAAAUUCGGCCACGUAAAACUGCCCAAUCAACUAUCUCGAAGAACUGGAGCGCGCUACAUGGCAGCGCAGGCUGAUGUCGGUGCCACGCGGGAGGCCACGCUGACGAUCUGCAUGCCCUAUGAUCAGACGACCCAUGACCGAUCCCGCACGCAUAGAGGAUCCGGAUCUGUUUCCCCCUUAGGUGCGAUCGGACGGUUGAGAUUAAUCGCAAUAAACAGCCCAAAUUCGUUUCCUCCUUAAAUGCAAUCAGACGGACGAGAUUAGUUGCGAUGGACGGUCCAGAUCAACGCGGGAUAGUUAUAAAUACUUCGCAUCACAUGGGAACCCAAACCCUAACCACCAGCCCCCACCGGAGAAGAAAAAUCAGACGGCAGAGAAGGAGGUCGACCAUUGACCGCCGUU
RNAcentral lists this long non-coding RNA (443 nucleotides) under Carica papaya (papaya). RNAcentral describes it as "long non-coding RNA (CPAP_LNC004247)". The record is from RNAcentral. Lineage: Eukaryota; Viridiplantae; Streptophyta; Magnoliopsida; Brassicales; Caricaceae.